AAACCAGUUUCCCACUGUAUUGUUUUUGUCUAAACCCCGUCUAUUUCUAAAAUGUAUCUGAUUUUAAACCUAACCUCACCGCUAACCGUAUAUCUGACCCUAACCUUAUAUUAAGACCAAAAAGCACAUUUUGUUUUCAUGAAUUUGUAUAAUAGAGCAAUUUUAGGUCGGCUAUCUAGUGGAAAACCUCUUGAACGCGACUCUAUCGAAGUCGCAUCUAAAUUACGUAGAUUUCAGGCGUCCGAGCUGUCAUUCUUUUGUGUUUAUCGCUCAACUAGCUACGACGUUUUAGAAAUGCAUUUUUCUUCGUUCCGUUAGCUAAUUGGAUAAACUAUAUGUAGUGAUUCUAUAAAUAUGGACUGGCGGACUAGAUUUAAUAUCGAUUGACUGUGUGUACAUGCAAAAAUGAACAAAGGGUGGCUGGAGCUCGAGAGUGACCCGGGGCUGUUCACGCUCUUGGUGGAGGAUUUUGGUGUGAAGGGGGUCCAGGUAGAGGAGAUAUACGACCUACAAAGCAAGUGUCCAAGCCCUGUGUAUGGCUUCAUCUUCCUGUUCAAGUGGAUCGAGGAGCGAAGGUCUAGGAGGAAAGUCUCCACUUUGGUGGAUGAGACCUCUGUCAUUGAUGAUGACAUUGUUAAUGACAUGUUCUUUGCCCACCAGCUGAUCCCAAACUCCUGCGCCACCCAUGCACUUCUGAGUGUGCUCCUGAACUGUAGUGGGGUUGAGUUGGGCACUACCCUCAGUCGCAUGAAGACUUUCACUAAAGGCUUCGGCCCAGAGAGUAAAGGCUACGCCAUUGGAAAUGCCCCAGAGCUGGCUAAAGCACACAACAGCCAUGCCAGACCGGAGCCCAGGCACCUGCCGGAGAAGCAGAACGGGAUUAGCGCCGUGCGGACCAUGGAAGCAUUCCACUUUGUCAGCUACGUGCCCAUCAAAGACCGACUGUUUGAGCUAGACGGCCUCAAGGCGUACCCCAUUGACCAUGGGCCAUGGGGAGAGGAGGAGGAGUGGACGGAUAAGGCACGGCGGGUCAUUAUGGAGAGGAUUGGCUUGGCCACGGCUGGAGAGCCCUACCAUGAUAUCCGCUUCAACCUGAUGGCAGUGGUUCCGGACCGCAGGGUGAAGUAUGAGUCAAAACUGGAGAUCCUGAAGAGGAACAGACAGAUGGUACUGGAGGGUCUACAGCAGCUGAUCCGGGUCACCCAGCCAGAGCUUGUACAGGACAGGAAGAAGCCAGACUCCUCCCCCUCAGACGACACACCCCCUACUAUCAAAAAAGAAGAGGCGGACCCUCAACCUGUUACAUCACAGGGGGCUGAGCAGACUCCUCCCACAAACACAGCAGCCCAGUCCCAAUUGGUCGCGAGCUCCUCAGGCAAGGGGAAAGCCAUGGGGAAGCCAGCUGCCCCAUUGGGGGGAGCGGGGACCUCCCAGCCUGUCACCAGCCCCAUCGUCCCUCGCCUACCAGCCUUCUUGGACAACCACAACUACGCCAAGUCCCCCAUGCAGGAGGAUGAGGACCUUGCGACAGGGGUGGGUCGUCCCCGGGUGCCCGGUGCGCCCCAGCCCCCCUACUCUGAUGACGAUGACUAUGAGGAUGAAGAGGAGGAAGAGCUUGGCACACCAACCAGGUUCAGGCGUAAAGGGGUGCUGCGUUCCCGUACAGGCCGUGUCGGGGGAGGCAGCGGCGUAGAGACCAAGCUGGCACUCGGCGUCCUGGCCGAGAAACUCAAGAAGGAAGUCCAGAGGAAGGACUCUCUGGCCACGCCCCUCUCCGUCCGUACCGAGGGCCGCACUGGGGGCAUCGUGAUCACAGCCGCCUCCCAACCCUCGCCCACACCCAGCAACGAGAGCACCGACACCGCCUCGGAGAUCGGCAGCGCCUUCAACUCACCACUGCGCUCCCCGGCCCGCUCCCAGGCGGCCACGCGGCCCUCCAGCCCUGUGGCAUCCCACCUGUCCCGGGUGUUGUUUGGGGAGGAUGAGGGUCUGCUGAGGCUGGAUGCCAGACAGAACCGGGCCGUCAGAGAGCUGGGGCCCUCCGUCAGCACCGCCCUGCUGCACCUACAGGAGGACGGGGUUAUAUACACUGUACCACCACCUGGUGAGGAAGGACGGGUGUGUGCGUGGCUGAUACAGCUCUUGAAGAGAAGAAGGCAGGCGCUCCAGAGAAGGUAAUAGAGCAAGGUAGCAAUCCAGCAGUAGAGGGGGACGGAGUGAAGGAGGAGGGGAAGGAGGGACCAUCGGUGGAGGUGAAAGAGGAAGAGAUCAGAGAUGCAACAGAGGUCAAACCCAGCAUGGAAAAGGUCAUCUCCACAGAAACUGUUGGAAGCAACAAGCCAUCUGGGGAAAAAUACUCUCCUAAAGAGCUGCUUGCUCUGCUCAAGUGUGUGGAGGCUGACAUCGCCAACUAUGAAGUGUUUCUAAAGGAGGAGGUGGAGAAGAGGAAAAAAUACAAGAUUGAUGACCAGAGGAGGACCCAUAAUUAUGACGAGUUCAUCUGCACCUUCAUAUCCAUGCUGGCACAAGAAGGCAUGUUGGCCAGUCUGGUUGAGCAGAAUAUCUCUGUGCGUCGUCGCCAGGGAGUGAGCAUCGGACGUUUACACAAACAGAGGAAACCAGACCGCAGGAAACGCUCGCGACCCUACAAGGCCAAGCGCCAGUGACCCCAGGAAGUGCUUGCUUGGGUUCCUUCUGCACCAAUCAUGGCAGAGAAAAGGCAAAAACCCUUGUUGCACUCACGACACUGUCCUGGGAAUUCAGGGAGAAAAUUACUCAUUCAUGUUGUUGUAUUUUAGUGUCAGAGUUUUUUUGUGUUUUUUUUCAUCCAAUGGACCAUCUGUUGAUUAGCUGAACCAAAUGAUGUAACGUUAUGCUUUCCUGUAACAUAAAAAAAAAUGCAUGUUAGACUCCCAAAUGGCACCUUAUUCCUAUAUCAUGCACUACCCUAUGGGCUAUGGUCAAAAUAGUGCACCAUAAUAGGGAAUAGGGUGACAUUUGGGAUGAACACCUAGUCUCCAUGUUAAAAGGACCUUUGUCUGCGCCAUCACACUGUGUACUGGGUCAUGUUCAUUAGGGCAGAAAAUGUUUUGCAAUAGGAAAAUAAGCAUUUGCAAUUCCGGAUAGUCAUUCCAUUGGGGGCCUAAUGAACACACCCCAGGGGUGACUCAACUGACUGUGAGGGACACAGGAAGCUGCUUGGAAGUCUGGGAGUUAGUCUGAUCAUGUCACGUGAUAUAAUCCUCAUUCCUGGCAAGCAGGGCUGGUUCACCACUAUUUGCUUGCUUGUAUCAUGCUUUGGCAGUACUGUAUGUGGUUGUAUCCCAGAUGGCACCCGAUUUCCUAUCAAGUGCACUACUUUUAGGGCCCAAGGGCUCUGGUAAAAGUAGUGCACUAGGGAAUGGGGUGCCAUUUGGGACUUAAUCUAAAUCUCUUUGGAGGUCCUGUAACUGUAUAGAUGAGAUCUACUCAUUUAAUGUUUUAUCUGUAAAUCUCUCAAUUAAGAUUCUGAUCAUUGGAGAGCAUUGUCAGUGUGUUUUUGUACAUACAGUAUGUAUCUGUCUGCUCAGCAUCAGUGGUAAUGGAAGUGUUUAAAAAAAUGGUUAUCCUAGUCACAUGAAUAACUACAAUAAACUCAACAAAAGCAC
Oncorhynchus mykiss (rainbow trout) is the source of this 3647-nucleotide RNA transcript. It is a transcript of the gene named ubiquitin carboxyl-terminal hydrolase BAP1, with no coding region annotated. The record is from RefSeq and is a predicted model, not a curated record. Lineage: Eukaryota; Metazoa; Chordata; Actinopteri; Salmoniformes; Salmonidae.